This 857-nucleotide ribosomal RNA is filed under the name uncultured bacterium. RNAcentral's name for it is "bacterial SSU rRNA". It matches the Rfam family "Bacterial small subunit ribosomal RNA", at positions 129 to 976 of the family's 1533-position model. The record is from RNAcentral.
CCCUCGAGAGGGGAAUAACUCGCCGAAAGGUGAGCUAAUACCGCGUACGAUCCUUGGUCGCAAGGCGAAGGAUGAAAGCUGCACCGUGGGUGUGGCGCUCGAGGAUGGGCUCAUGUCCUAUCAGCUUGUUGGUGAGGUAACGGCUCACCAAGGCUACGACGGGUAGCUGGUCUGAGAGGACGAUCAGCCACACUGGCACUGCGACACGGGCCAGACUCCUACGGGAGGCAGCAGUAAGGAAUAUUGCGCAAUGGACGACAGUCUGACGCAGCGACGCCGCGUGGGGGAUGAAGGUCUUCGGAUUGUAAACCCCUUUCGGGUGGAAAGAUGGCUCUCGACAACGAGAGCGGACGGUACCACCAGAAGCAGCCACGGCCAACUUCGUGCCAGCAGCCGCGGUAAGACGUAGGGUGCAAGCGUUGUUCGGAUUCACUGGGCGUAAAGCGCGCGUAGGCGGUCUGUUAAGUGAGUGGUGAAAUCUCCAGAGCUCAACUCGGAAAUUGCUUCUCAUACUGGCAGACUAGAGGAAUGCAGAGGUAAGUGGAAUUCCUGGUGUAGCGGUGACAUGCAUUGAUAUCAGGAGGAACACCCAUGGCGAAGGCAGCUUACUGGGCAUUAUCUGACGCUGAGGCGCGAAAGCGUGGGGAGCAAACAGAAUUAGAUACUCUGGUAGUCCACGCCCUAAACGAUGGAUACUAGGCGUAAGAGGUAUCGACCCCUCUUGUGCCGCAGCUAACGCACUAAGUAUCCCGCCUGGGGACUACGGCCGCAAGGUUGAAACUCAAAUGAAUUGACGGGACCCCGCACAAGCGGUGGAGCAUGUGGAUUAAUUCGAUACUAACCGAAGAACCUUACCC